UUUAGAUUCUUGGCAAUUUGGAGCAUUUGAAUUUAUGGCUUCAUAUGAUGUUUCUGUCACCAAGGACUGGCUUUGUUUAUCUUAUUUAGGAUACAAACUUGGAUAUGCAUGUACUAAUUGUGCUUUAUUCAGUAAUAUUGAUACAUUUUAAGUUGUAAAAAUUGCUUCAAUACAUUGUUUUGCCCACAUGUUCGUAAAUAAAUUCUUUAUCAAUUUGAAAUCCGCCAUAAAUCACUUCAACUUUUGUUUCAGGGUUGCUACAGUUGUGCUGCGA
RNAcentral lists this unclassified non-coding RNA (274 nucleotides) under Hevea brasiliensis (rubber tree). Lineage: Eukaryota; Viridiplantae; Streptophyta; Magnoliopsida; Malpighiales; Euphorbiaceae. The record is from RNAcentral.